Molecule: transfer RNA, 75 nt
Filed under: Nanoarchaeales archaeon
Lineage: Archaea; Nanobdellati; Nanobdellota; Candidatus Nanoarchaeia; Nanoarchaeales
Also listed under: 2 other names
Description: tRNA-Arg
Rfam family: tRNA
About the family: Transfer RNA (tRNA) molecules are approximately 80 nucleotides in length.
Source: RNAcentral
GCCCCCGUAGCUCAGCCUGGAUAGAGCACUGGGCUUCGGACCCAGUGGUCGCGGGUUCAAAUCCCGUCGGGGGCA